This 468-nucleotide ribosomal RNA is filed under the name uncultured bacterium. RNAcentral's name for it is "partial 16S ribosomal RNA". It matches the Rfam family "Bacterial small subunit ribosomal RNA", at positions 28 to 507 of the family's 1533-position model. The record is from RNAcentral.
GACGAACGCUGGCGGCGUGCUUAACACAUGCAAGUCGAACGGAAAGGCCCUGCUUUUGUGGGGUGCUCGAGUGGCGAACGGGUGGGUAACACGUGAGUAACCUGCCCUUGACUUUGGGAUAACUUCAGGAAACUGGGGCUAAUACCGGAUAGGAGCUCCUGCUGCAUGGUGGGGGUGGGAAAGUUUCGGCGGUUGGGGAUGGACUCGCGGCUUAUCAGCUUGUUGGUGGGGUAGUGGCUUACCAAGGCUUUGACGGGUAGCCGGCCUGAGAGGGUGACCGGCCACAUUGGGACUGAGAUACGGCCCAGACUCCUACGGGAGGCAGCAGUGGGGAAUAGUGCACAAUGGGCGGAAGCCUGAUGCAGCAACGCCGCGUGCGGGAUGACGGCCUUCGGGUUGUAAACCGCUUUCGCCUGUGACGAAGCGUGAGUGACGGUAAUGGGUAAAGAAGCACCGGCUAACUACGUG